UUCUGAAAUGGCAGAGUAUGGAGGGAU
This 27-nucleotide small RNA is filed under the name Bombyx mori (domestic silkworm). RNAcentral describes it as "ovarian small RNA-4071". The record is from RNAcentral. Lineage: Eukaryota; Metazoa; Arthropoda; Insecta; Lepidoptera; Bombycidae.